Molecule: small nucleolar RNA, 209 nt
Organism: Archocentrus centrarchus (flier cichlid)
Lineage: Eukaryota; Metazoa; Chordata; Actinopteri; Cichliformes; Cichlidae
Product: small nucleolar RNA U3
Exons: 1
Source: RefSeq, a predicted model, not a curated record
UAAUCUUUAUUCUGGGAUCAUGUCUAUAAUGUUUGACUUGAGGAAUGUGAUUCCAAAGUGUACGUGUCACUAACCACAAUGAUGAAGCUUGAUAUUCCUUUCUGAGCAGGAGGCAGAUUGGGAAUGAUUAUGUUGUAUGUUCUCUUUCACUGAUGAUUGCUCCUUGAUUCCUUGUGAGGCACUGAGGAAGGGGAUGUGAUCAGAGUGGU